RNAcentral lists this long non-coding RNA (1553 nucleotides) under Lathyrus oleraceus (garden pea). RNAcentral's name for it is "Pisum sativum (pea) long non-coding RNA (PSAT_LNC023999)". Lineage: Eukaryota; Viridiplantae; Streptophyta; Magnoliopsida; Fabales; Fabaceae. The record is from RNAcentral.
GAGAACUAGACACCUAACUACAAAGAUUUAAACCUAUUUUUCCAAAAAAAUGUCAUACCCGAACAUAAGCCAAGAUACAAUCGCGAAAAUCCUCAAAUGUGUGUGUUUUGAUUACUUGAAUGAAUUUUAUUAGAACAUGAUCAAACUCAAUAUACACUAUUUUGCAUAUUGAUUGAGAGAUUACCCUAUCAAUUGAGUGAGUCAUGGUGAGAUGAGAGACAGGUUGAAUAUUUGCCAAAGAUUGAGGAGAUUUUAUGAACUUGUCGGAUUGUAGUUGGAAGCCAGAAUGAUGGUCAGGUAAAUAAAAUUUCAUAUGGUGAUGUUCAAUUGUUAUUGUAAUACCCUAAAUUUUGUUCAUCCAUUUUCUACUAUUAUAUGGGUUUUAGUCUCAUUAUAUUUUAAAUAGAUGAGAUCUCUCAUUUAGUAGUGAAGUGAGAUUAAAAGAGUUACAAGCACGAGGUCUUGGGUUUAGCUCUCACCUUUUCAUUUUUUAUAUUUUUAUUUUUCUUUAAUCUGAUUUUCCCUAUAAAUAGAUUUAAUUUUUUUAUUUUACUUUAAUUUUUUUUUAAACCAUACGAUGAUGCUCUAAUGAUUUUUUUUCAAUUUAACUCAUUAUGUUAUGAAUUAUUUGUUCAUAUAUUAUAUUUAAUAUUUUUAACUAUUAAGACAUUAACAUUCACAAUUUCUAACAUUUUUUCUUCUUGUUAUACUAUUUUUUAACUUUUUUUUUAGAUUAAGCAAAACAUUUUUCUCAAAAAAAAAAAAGACCUUCUCCCUGUAGAUAUCUCCAAAAUUCCCCAAGUCUCUCACGUAAAUAUUCACAUAACUAUACUAACUUCAUCAUCUCUAAUUUAUCAAAGUCAUAUCCUUACCAUCAAAAUUCUUUCCCACCAUGUUUGAUUCAUAACACCAAAUGUCUCACCUUCUUACUUACACAUGAAUCACUCUCAUAAACACCAUAACCACCAAUCCCAUUAACUUCAUCAACCAUUAUUAGCAUUCUACACAAACUUUCAAACCAAGUUAAUCGCCAUUAAACCCACAUCAAUUCAUCACAACCUGCAAACCACACUAACAAAAACCAAAUUAUAACAACAACAUCAAUUAACAAUAAGAUCCAACAACAACAACAACAACAAUUAAUAUUUCAAGCAAAAUUGGAUUCAAGAACUGGGAAGAAGAAUAAAAUGAUUCGAAGCUCCAUUGCCAGCAACCGCAACUCCGACAAAAUCCCUCCAAGAGUCAACCACCUCCCGCCUCCGUGCAAGGCUGCUGGAAAUCGCAACCUAAGACAAGCUUCACGACGGCGAGAUCUGCUCUUCCGGCGAUGCACGUUCCCCGACGGUCGUCGCCACUCAAAAUCGCACUCGCCGCCACGCACACCUUUUUCGGUCAGCACACGUCCUGCGCAUUCUCACUCUUCAAAUUCUGCCUUUGUUCUUUGUGUAAUGGUUUUCUUUUCAAAUUGUUUGGUUACCGUGUGUUAAUAUAUUAUGUGGUCAAGAGAACAUGUGUAUUGGUUUGUCAUAGAGUGCAUCUUUGUUAUAUGUUGC